RNAcentral lists this ribosomal RNA (253 nucleotides) under uncultured bacterium. RNAcentral's name for it is "partial 16S ribosomal RNA". It matches the Rfam family "Bacterial small subunit ribosomal RNA", at positions 524 to 776 of the family's 1533-position model. The record is from RNAcentral.
UACGGAGGGAGCUAGCGUUGUUCGGAAUCACUGGGCGUAAAGCGCACGUAGGCGGACUCUUAAGUCGGUGGUGAAAUCCUGGAGCUCAACUCCAGAACUGCCUUCGAUACUGAGAGUCUUGAGUCCGGGAGAGGUGAGUGGAACUGCGAGUGUAGAGGUGAAAUCGUAGAUAUUCGCAAGAACACCAGUGGCGAAGGCGGCUCACUGGCCCGGUACUGACGCUGAGGUGCGAAAGCGGUGGGGAGCAAACAGG